Molecule: ribosomal RNA, 270 nt
Filed under: uncultured Eubacteriales bacterium
Lineage: Bacteria; Bacillati; Bacillota; Clostridia; Eubacteriales
Description: uncultured Clostridiales bacterium partial 16S ribosomal RNA
Rfam family: Bacterial small subunit ribosomal RNA
Source: RNAcentral
ACUUCGGUGGAUUUUAAAUUGACUGAGCGGCGGACGGGUGAGUAACGCGUGGAUAACCUGCCUCACACAGGGGGACAACAGUUGGAAACGACUGCUAAUACCGCAUAAGACCACACUAUCGCAUGAUAGAGGGGUCAAAGAAAUAUCGCUUAUGGAUGGGCUCGCGUCCCAUUAGGUAGUUGGUGAGGUAACGGCCCACCAAGCCAACGAUGGGUAGCCGAGCUGAGAGGCUGAUCGGCCACACUGGAACUGAGACACGGUCCAGACUCC